UCUGCAUCGUGAAUGGCUAGGUUCAUGGUUCGAGGAAGAACGUGGCAACCUGUGAUAAUACUUGGGAUUUGCAGGCUUGACCAAUAGUUCUUCGAACAGCUUGACCGCACCUGUA
This 115-nucleotide ribosomal RNA is filed under the name Oramoeba fumarolia. RNAcentral's name for it is "5.8S ribosomal RNA". The record is from RNAcentral. Lineage: Eukaryota; Heterolobosea; Gruberellidae.